UCCUGUUCGCGAACCAUGAGAUUUGCUGGUCGCUCGCGAUUUCUGGAAUUUUUAAUCGUUUCAAUAUUCGGAGUAGGCGGUGGAUUUUACAUUUUUCAGCCGGCAUUUAGACAAUAUCGGCAGGAACACAUCGAUGCCUCCAAACAAGCAUCAUUGAAUAAAGAUUCAACACAGUCCUAGAUUUCGAAACAGAAUGUCUUUGGGUGCGUUAACGAGAAUGUUGCAAAUGCUGAAAGCAUCUCCAGUGGCCGUCGUUGGAGGCACUAUCCUCAUAACUGGUUCUCUGCUUUAUACGUAUCGUGCGAUUUACAGCCCAUUCGUAUCCCGCAGAAGAAGAGAGGAGUCUGAAGCUAUGGCGGACUAUAUUUUCCGCAAGGAGCAAUUAAAAGAACCACGAUAAUGAGAUCAUGUUUUUGCAUACUGUUUAGCAUCUAAUAAACUAUGUAGCAUAAUAAACAAACUUUAAAUUUCUUAC
Anopheles bellator is the source of this 475-nucleotide long non-coding RNA. RefSeq lists it as uncharacterized. NCBI's taxonomy places the organism in Eukaryota, Metazoa, Arthropoda, Insecta, Diptera, Culicidae. The transcript is spliced from 2 exons. The record is from RefSeq and is a predicted model, not a curated record.